Molecule: ribosomal RNA, 1398 nt
Filed under: uncultured bacterium
Lineage: Bacteria
Description: bacterial SSU rRNA
Rfam family: Bacterial small subunit ribosomal RNA
Source: RNAcentral
AGAGUUUGAUCCUGGCUCAGGAUGAACGCUGGCGGCGUGCUUAACACAUGCAAGUCGAGCGGGAAUUAGUUAGGUGCUUGCACCUAACUAAUUUUAGCGGCUUUAGCGGCGGACGGGUGAGUAACGCGUGGGUAACCUGCCUUAUACAGGGGGAUAACAUAUUGAAAAGUAUGCUAAUACCGCAUAAGCGCACAGCAUCACAUGAUGCAGUGUGAAAAACUCCGGUGGUAUAAGAUGGACCCGCGUCUGAUUAGCUAGUAGGUGAGGUAAUGGCUCACCUAGGCGACGAUCAGUAGCCGACCUGAGAGGGUGAUCGGCCACAUUGGGACUGAGACACGGCCCAAACUCCUACGGGAGGCAGCAGUGGGGAAUAUUGCACAAUGGGGGAAACCCUGAUGCAGCGACGCCGCGUGAAGGAUGAAGGUUUUCGGAUCGUAAACUUCUAUCAGCAGGGACGAUAAAUGACGGUACCUUAGGAGGAAGCCCCGGCUAACUACGUGCCAGCAGCCGCGGUAAUACGUAGGGGGCAAGCGUUAUCCGGAAUUAUUGGGCGUAAAGAGUGCGUAGGUGGUUUUGUAAGCGCGAGGUGAAAGGCUAUGGCUCAACCAUAGUAAGCCUUGCGAACUGCAAGACUUGAGUGCAGGAGAGGAAAGUGGAAUUCCUAGUGUAGCGGUGAAAUGCGUAGAUAUUAGGAGGAACACCAGUGGCGAAGGCGACUUUCUGGACUGUAACUGACACUGAGGCACGAAAGCGUGGGGAGCAAACAGGAUUAGAUACCCUGGUAGUCCACGCCGUAAACGAUGAGUACUAGGUGUCGGGGGUAUCGACCCCCUCGGUGCCACAGCUAACGCAAUAAGCACUCCGCCUGGGGAGUACGGUCGCAAGACUGAAACUCAAAGGAAUUGACGGGGGCCCGCACAAGCGGUGGAGUAUGUGGUUUAAUUCGACGCAACGCGAAGAACCUUACCAAGGCUUGACAUCCUGUGACAGCUAUAGAAAUAUAGAGACUUCUUAGUUUACUAAGACACAGAGACAGGUGGUGCAUGGUUGUCGUCAGCUCGUGUCGUGAGAUGUUGGGUUAAGUCCCGCAACGAGCGCAACCCUUAUUGCCAGUUACCAGCGAGUAAUGUCGGGAACUCUAAUGAGACUGCCGGGGAUAACUCGGAGGAAGGUGGGGACGACGUCAAAUCAUCAUGCCCCUUAUGUCUUGGGCUACACACGUGCUACAAUGGCUGUAACAAAGGGAAGCGACAGCGUAAGCUGAAGCGGAUCUCAGAAAAGCAGUCCCAGUUCGGAUUGUGGGCUGCAACCCGCCCACAUGAAGUCGGAGUUGCUAGUAAUCGCGGAUCAGCAUGCCGCGGUGAAUACGUUCCCGGGCCUUGUACACACCGCCCGUCA